GAGGUAUAGCUCAGUGGCAGAGUGUGUGCUUAGCAUGCAUGAGGUCCUGGGUUCAAUCCCCGCAGUACCUC
Molecule: transfer RNA, 71 nt
Filed under: Camelus bactrianus (Bactrian camel)
Lineage: Eukaryota; Metazoa; Chordata; Mammalia; Artiodactyla; Camelidae
Also listed under: 1 other name
Rfam family: tRNA
About the family: Transfer RNA (tRNA) molecules are approximately 80 nucleotides in length. Their secondary structure includes four short double-helical elements and three loops (D, anti-codon, and T loops).
Source: Rfam by way of RNAcentral